This 365-nucleotide long non-coding RNA is filed under the name Prunus persica (peach). Its description in RNAcentral is "long non-coding RNA (PPER_LNC002133)". Lineage: Eukaryota; Viridiplantae; Streptophyta; Magnoliopsida; Rosales; Rosaceae. The record is from RNAcentral.
CACAUCGAAAGGCUAUUGAGACAGUUUUUAACAUCUCUAAUAGGAAAUCACCAAAUAUAUAUAUACACCACAAAAUUAGUAUAAAAACAUAUGAACAUAAAAACAGAAAAUAAUAAAUAAAUAAAACUAAUAUUAACAACGAUAGAUCAUUACACAAUUUAGAGUAACCCAUCAACAGCUGAUGAAUUGAUUGUUUUUGUUGGGGAUGAAAGCAAGUGUUUCUAAAACAGAGAAUAAAAACAUAAAAGUUUUUGAAUCUUAGAUUCCCUUUUUAACUUUUUGUUCCUUUUCGUUUGUUUUCCCACAAAGCACAGGAAUAUUAUUAGGUAUCCAUUCCCAUCAUUUAUCAUAGACUACAACUAAAC